Non-coding RNA from Diplogelasinospora grovesii, 89 nucleotides. Lineage: Eukaryota; Fungi; Ascomycota; Sordariomycetes; Sordariales; Diplogelasinosporaceae. The record is from the annotation of a GenBank genome assembly.
GGGCCGCUGGUCUAGUGGUAUGAUUCUCGCUUAGGGUUCAGCCUGAGCACGGUUGCGAGAGGUCCCGGGUUCAAUCCCCGGGUGGCCCC